This 1227-nucleotide ribosomal RNA is filed under the name Comamonadaceae bacterium OTSz_A_293. RNAcentral describes it as "bacterial SSU rRNA". It matches the Rfam family "Bacterial small subunit ribosomal RNA", at positions 98 to 1322 of the family's 1533-position model. Lineage: Bacteria; Pseudomonadati; Pseudomonadota; Betaproteobacteria; Burkholderiales; Comamonadaceae. The record is from RNAcentral.
GCGAACGGGUGAGUAAUAUAUCGGAACGUGCCCAAUAGUGGGGGAUAGCCCGGCGAAAGCCGGAUUAAUACCGCAUACGACCUGAGGGUGAAAGCGGGGGAUCGCAAGACCUCGCGCUAUUGGAGCGGCCGAUAUCAGAUUAGGUAGUUGGUGAGGUAAAGGCUCACCAAGCCGACGAUCUGUAGCUGGUCUGAGAGGACGACCAGCCACACUGGGACUGAGACACGGCCCAGACUCCUACGGGAGGCAGCAGUGGGGAAUUUUGGACAAUGGGCGCAAGCCUGAUCCAGCCAUGCCGCGUGCGGGAAGAAGGCCUUCGGGUUGUAAACCGCUUUUGUCAGGGAAGAAAUCUUCUGAGUUAAUACCUCGGGAGGAUGACGGUACCUGAAGAAUAAGCACCGGCUAACUACGUGCCAGCAGCCGCGGUAAUACGUAGGGUGCAAGCGUUAAUCGGAAUUACUGGGCGUAAAGCGUGCGCAGGCGGUCUUGCAAGACAGGUGUGAAAUCCCCGGGCUUAACCUGGGAACUGCACUUGUGACUGCAAGGCUGGAGUACGGCAGAGGGGGAUGGAAUUCCGCGUGUAGCAGUGAAAUGCGUAGAUAUGCGGAGGAACACCGAUGGCGAAGGCAAUCCCCUGGGCCUGUACUGACGCUCAUGCACGAAAGCGUGGGGAGCAAACAGGAUUUAGAUACCCUGGUAGUCCACGCCCUAAACGAUGUCAACUGGUUGUUGGGACGGCUUGCUGUUCAGUAACGUAGCUAACGCGUGAAGUUGACCGCCUGGGGGAGUACGGCCGCAAGGUUGAAACUCAAAGGAAUUUGACGGGGACCCGCACAAGCGGUGGAUGAUGUGGUUUAAUUCGAUGCAACGCGAAAAACCUUACCUACCCUUGACAUGCCUGGAAUCCUGCAGAGAUGUGGGAGUGCUCGAAAGAGAGCCAGGACACAGGUGCUGCAUGGCCGUCGUCAGCUCGUGUCGUGAGAUGUUGGGUUAAGUCCCGCAACGAGCGCAACCCUUGUCAUUAGUUGCUACGAAAGGGCACUCUAAUGAGACUGCCGGUGACAAACCGGAGGAAGGUGGGGAUGACGUCAGGUCCUCAUGGCCCUUAUGGGUAGGGCUACACACGUCAUACAAUGGCCGGUACAGAGGGCUGCCAACCCGCGAGGGGGAGCCAAUCCCAGAAAACCGGUCGUAGUCCGGAUCGCAGUCUGCAACUCGACCUGCGUG